This 253-nucleotide ribosomal RNA is filed under the name uncultured bacterium. RNAcentral describes it as "partial 16S ribosomal RNA". It matches the Rfam family "Archaeal small subunit ribosomal RNA", at positions 474 to 727 of the family's 1478-position model. The record is from RNAcentral.
UACCAGCACCCCGAGUGGUCGGGACGUUUAUUGGGCCUAAAGCAUCCGUAGCCGGUUCUACAAGUCUUCCGUUAAAUCCACCUGCUUAACAGAUGGGCUGCGGAAGAUACUAUAGAGCUAGGAGGCGGGAGAGGCAAGCGGUACUCGAUGGGUAGGGGUAAAAUCCGUUGAUCCAUUGAAGACCACCAGUGGCGAAGGCGGAUCUCUGGGCCUUACCUGACGCUCAGGCGCGAAAGCUAGGGGAGCGAACAGG